RNAcentral lists this ribosomal RNA (396 nucleotides) under uncultured bacterium. RNAcentral describes it as "partial 16S ribosomal RNA". It matches the Rfam family "Bacterial small subunit ribosomal RNA", at positions 523 to 918 of the family's 1533-position model. The record is from RNAcentral.
AUACGUAGGUGGCAAGCGUUGUCCGGAAUUAUUGGGCGUAAAGCGCCUGUAGGCGGUUUGGUAAGUCGGUCGUGAAAAUGCGGUGCUUAACGCCGUAUGGCGAUUGAAACUGCUGAACUUGAGAGCAGGAGAGGAAAGGGGGACUCCCCGUGAAGCGGUGAAAUGCGUAGAUAUUGGGAAGAACACCGGUGGCGAAGGCGCCUUUCUGGACUGUGUCUGACGCUCAGAUGCGAAAGCCAGGGUAGCGAACGGGAUUAGAUACCCCGGUAGUCCUGGCCGUAAACGAUGGGUACUAGGUGUGGGAGGUAUCGACUCCUUCCGUGCCGGAGUUAACGCAAUAAGUACCCCGCCUGGGGAGUACGGCCGCAAGGCUUAAACUUAAAGGAAUUGGCGGGG